This is an RNA transcript of Cucurbita moschata (crookneck pumpkin), 1681 nucleotides long. It is a transcript of the gene named DNA polymerase alpha catalytic subunit-like, with no coding region annotated. The record is from RefSeq and is a predicted model, not a curated record. Lineage: Eukaryota; Viridiplantae; Streptophyta; Magnoliopsida; Cucurbitales; Cucurbitaceae. The transcript is spliced from 2 exons.
CCGCCAAACACAUACAAGAUCUUCUCCCAGACAUUCUCAGAUUCUGUAAUUGCAAAUUCACGCCAACAAAAUCCAUGUUAAAAUCAGCGCCGUGGAGGUUAUAUCUCUUCGGACAUGGCGGAUGAACAGCCUUCAGCCGCUAAUCGGCGGAGGAGCUGAGGAUCUGAGGCUGCUGCUCACCUUGCGGCUCUGGAACGUCUCAAAGCCUUCUGCAGCGGUGGGCGUCGGUUGGAAGAUGGUGGUUUCCAUUUGAAGUUACAGAACCCCAUCCACGACACAAUUCCGGAAGAUGAGUAUGAUGCUCUCGUUGCAAAGCGUGGUGAAGAUGCCCUAGGGUUUAUUUUUGACGACGACGGUCUUGGAUUUGGAGACGAAGGUGAGGAAGCGGAUUGGCCGAAAUCUGGGGUUUGUUCCUCCGAUGAGUCCGACAGUGAGCUGAAGAACCCUAAGAAGAUGAAAGGGGCAAAUUGAAGCUAUACCGAUUUCAAGGACUUUUGCGCCUAAGGAAUUUGAUGCAAAGGAGGACUUGAUUUCUCAAAUCAACCUGGAUUCGGUUGGGGAAUCACACAGUUCUUCAAUCAAGGAAGAUGUAAUUGAAGAUGGUAUGCCAAUUAUGGUUGAAACGAAAGCAGAACCGUUCGUGAAGAAGGAGGGGAAGGGAGAGGAAUUGUUGAUUCUGCAGCAGAAAUUCCUGGUUUUCAACGAGUAAGAUUGCCUAAUCCUUCAUAAUUUAAGGAUAUUUAUACAUAUAAAACAACCUAAUACUUGCUGAUAUUCUUAUGAAGUUGAGCUGAUGCAAGUUUGAGGUGAUAGUUGAGUCUCCAAAAGAUGUUCAAAUUUCAUAUUCAUCAGGAAAAACUGUGGAGAUUCCUUCAAUGUUUGUCACUGCAAUACAAAUUAUGUCUGCAUCUGUUAUAUACUGUCAAGGAGAAGAUGUUAAUUGUGAACUUCUGUCAGUGUUGUUGAUUUUGUUUGCAUGUUUCUUCUGAUGUGACAAUCAUGUUCUGUUUUAGUGGAAAAUGGGUAUUGGGUUCACUAAUCAGCUUACAGGAUUGUUGACCAUUGAAGGGUAUUGCUUAUGAGGAUCAUGGUCUACUUGAUAGGAAUCAUACAACUUUAAGUAGAAUCGCUGAAUUUUCACAAUUUAUUUGCACAUGGAUGAAUCUAUCGAGUUUUAUGAAUGAAUGAGAUUUUGGAGGAACUGUAAGGAAUGCUCACAAGAUUUUGAAGUUUCUAUCUUCAAUACUCAAACUGAAGCUCAUGAUGCUCAAUUAGAAGAAUUGUUAGCAUAUUUUCUCUCCAAGUAAACAGAGAUUUCAAAAGCCUGGUAUGCCUACACAUUUUACUAUCAUCCCUAAGCUUGAUGGAGGCAUAUGAUAGAAAUUUGAAGGUUGGAUCAAAUGUUCUAAUCUGCGAGGAGCGAGUAGUGAAAGGGCCUUGUUCAAUCGAUUAAUGAUUGAAUUAUUCAAAUUGGAUAGUGAUAUCUCUGGGUUUGAUCUAGAUGUUCUUCUCCAUCGAUCCCAGGUAGAACUAUCAAGAAAUUACUAUGAACAAAGUAACAAAAGGAUUUUUUUUUUUUUUUUUUUGAGAAGGAAACAACACUUUUUAUUGACAUUGUCAAAGUAACAACCCUCUUUACAUGGUAACAAACUUUUCUGAAGUUAAUGUGUUCCAUUACGCA